Long non-coding RNA from Myiozetetes cayanensis, 3317 nucleotides. RefSeq lists it as uncharacterized. NCBI's taxonomy places the organism in Eukaryota, Metazoa, Chordata, Aves, Passeriformes, Tyrannidae. The record is from RefSeq and is a predicted model, not a curated record. The transcript is spliced from 4 exons.
UUUUAGUGUGUCCUUCUGUAUCCACAGAAGAUCUGCAAAAAAAAAUCAGAAAAGACAAAUCCUAUGUAUUAAAUCACUAGCUUUGAAUUUGUUUUUAAGUUCCUCCUCAUUUAAUAGGCUCUAUUAUGACAUUCCUGCUGCAACUAUCUUUUCCUUUGCAGGGCUUCUACAGAUCCUGAUCAUUUCUAAAGAAGGAAUUCCCAACAGAAGCCUAAUCGAUUUGCUCAGCUCUAUGAAUUUGUACAGCGUAACAGAAAUCUUACACUUCAUAAAAAAUCUCACCCUCGCAAAUGUGUCCUCUGUAUUAAACAGUUCUAGUGAAUCUGAUUUUUUAAUAGGUUCAAGACAGCAAAGUAAGAUCAGGUGGGUAGGAGAGGGGAAAUAUGUGAGGGCAGACUCAUGUUCUGAGGGGAGAUAUAGAGGUAAAACACUUUAAAAUCAAAGCUCCAUAACUUUACAGGGUCAUUUCAAUGCUAAUAAUGUCAGGUUGCUUUCCAAGUGAAAUACAUACAUCUCCUGAGUCAAUUUUUUUAAGAGUUCUCAAACUCCAGCAAAGAAGAAAAAUCUAAAUUUGUCAUCUGGGUAACCAUUACCAGGAAAUAUAAUGAGCAGGUUUUGUCUGUGAAUGUGGGUCACAUCAUCCCUUCUCCCUCCCCUUACCUGCUCUUUCCUUAGGCCAUAACCAUUUUCGGAUUUUGAAGCAUAUUUACAGGAGUUAACCUGGUGAUGAAGCAUCAAAGAAUUCAGAGGCUGUUACCCCCAAAUCCAUGACAGCUUUGCAAUGGAGGGGAAAUACGUCAUCUCAUCUCUCCUUAAACAAUUUGUUUUAGGCAGCCAUUUCAGAUUAAAUAAAUAACCAAGUACACAAUUUAGAGACUCCAGACCACUAAGUAUAUUGAAUUAAAAAUUCAGGGAUGCUGUUGUAGUGAAUGGAAGGCAAUGUGUUUUACAGAGAAGCAGGCAGAAUACCUCUUGAUUCAUUGUACCUCCAAGUAAUUACUAAGAGCAGAUCUUGCUGGUAAUUCAAGCAACAAAAACAUUUUCUAAUUAUAUAGGGCCAGAUUUUCUGCUUUACAGUUUCCCAGAACUCUUCUUUGGGAAACCUAGGGUAGAAUUCCCCCCUUCUCUGCCUGUCCUUCUGCAGGAGCAGAGGAGCAGGAAAAGGUGUUCUUGGCUCACACUGUGUAUGCUGGGGUGGUGAUGCAAACUAAGAAAUACAGGUAGUUUUCAACUAGUAAGUGCCGAAAUGCCUGAUAGUUGAGGCUGCAGUCCUUUCCUUUAGAGAUACCAAUACCCAGAGCACAAGGGUGGUUUACUCAAUUUUUCCAAGGAAUAAACGAAGACCCAGAGCUGUGAUAGACUGAGCAAGAAUAAAAUCUAACAGUGCGCAGUGAUGAUGGACACCAACAGUCCUCAAUCUACUCAGCAGUUGCUUCAACUGCAAAGUAACAGAUUCAUUUUAGAAACACCUGCAAGGAAUUAUUUGUAAUAACUCCUGGUAAUAUAACAAAUUUGCAUGCUGGGAGAGUGGGGAGGUCACUGUCUAUAGCUACAGCUCUAAAGCCAAAUGACCUGAAGCUGUUUCUGCUGUGAGGGAUUUGCAGGAAGACAUGAAUUUUGCAGCCAGGAAGAGCAGGUGAUUUUUUUUCUAGCAACAGGAAAUCUUUAGGCAUGCCAAUAGAAUUAAUGUUCGGAGCUUUUUCAGUAUUCCCAGGUGAAAGCUGAAUGUGUAUGCAGACUCUAUGGCAUGUGGUCAUCAGAAUACUAUAAAUUUUCCUGUUACUUUCACAAAAUGAAACACGAUAAAAUUUUAUUUUCUGCAUUACACAUUAUAAAAAUGGAAAUAGAAGGCUUAAAUAUUCCAUUCACAAAGGUGAAGUGGGCAUAUUUCAAUCAUAUUAAAGCUACUUUUUCCUUACUUUUCAAAACAGAUUCCUGCUGAGGAUGUGCAGACUUGAAGUGACAUUUUCAGCUGUAAAAGCAUAAUUGGAAAAUUUCACUCUAGAAAUAGCAGCCCAUGCUACUAAAUUCAAUCCAGCUGUCUUGACCCUAUUCUCUCUGAAGUCAAUGGCUGAGUUAGAGUUUUAGAAGGCUGCUGUUCUCCACUUUAAUAUCUAUUCUGGGAUGUUGUAAGAACUGAAUUGGGACACAUGGACAGCAGCAUGUGAGAGCUUCAGAAAGCCACUGUGUGGGACCUGGAACCUGAGGAGAACCUGUGCUGCAGCACUGAAAAUGUCUCAGUUCCAAAAGUGAAAUGAGAGAAUGAAGCUCAGCUGAUCAUCAGCAAAUAUAUGAGUCUGCUGCUUAGUAAAUAGGGGUCUUCAGUGACUUUUUCACUAAAAGCAAUAAACAGUGACAUGUUUCCAGCCUGAGGAAACAGGACAAAAUGAGCAGGAUGAACCUGUGUUGCAGAUCAGGUAUAAUUAAUUUCUCUGUAAUUAAGUCACAGAGUAAUUUCUGUUGAAAGGGGUGCCUGGAAUCUCAGAAUUAGCAAGCUCCUCUGUAAAGAACUGUCAGAUGUAAGGUGGGAGCUGUAAAUGUGAGUGAUUGCAGUGUGAUCUAGUGUGAAGAUAACUGCCCGUCACUGGCUAGCAGGGAAGUGGCCCAGAGGGGCCAUCUUCAUGUAAAAUAUAUGAACACAGGAGGCUUCAGAGUAGUAAUAUAUUUCCUAAGAGAAAACUGUUGCAUCACUCAUCUGUUAGGUGAGUCAGAUCCAUUGGUGAGUGCCAGCAGGAAAGAAAGGAACCAGGAACACUCAGAACCUGAGGAACUGAUGAGCAGCUGAAAGGAAAGAACCCAUUUAUAUGAGAAGCAGUUGCAUAACACCCGCAUUGACAGCUGUUUGGGACCAAAUCCAUGGGUCUCACGUGAGAGCACAGACAGCAGAGAGAAGGGCAAAGCAGCACUGCAGCCCCACAGCCUGGGGAGCUUGGAGCCAACCUGAGAGGGAGCGUGGGAAGAAAGAAGUUGCUUUCUUCAGUCUCAUCAGAAGAGAUGGAUUAGGGGUAGCACAGAGUCAAACAUCUCUCAGCCAUUUCCCUGGCAAACCAGAGAAGUUGUUCUAUUUGACUUAUCUACUGAAAAACCACACCUGAGAAUGAAUAGAAGCAUUACUUUAAACAUAUUUGAACUAAAUCACUGCAAUACAUUUUGAACAUACAGCUUGCAGCAAGUAUAGAUUCUCUAUGUGGAUGCAGUUCUUGAACCUGUAUAUUGCUUUUAUCUUUGAUGAUGUUACAUUAAAAAGAAAUGGGAUACCAUAGAAAUAUUUUCUGUAAUAAAUGAGUAUAUAGAAAAUAUAAGAUAAAGGUGGAAGA